Molecule: ribosomal RNA, 463 nt
Filed under: uncultured bacterium
Lineage: Bacteria
Description: partial 16S ribosomal RNA
Rfam family: Bacterial small subunit ribosomal RNA
Source: RNAcentral
GAUGAACGCUGACAGAAUGCUUAACACAUGCAAGUCUUUGGCGAAGCUGUGCUUGCACCGCCUAGCCAAGGCGGACGGGUGAGUAACGCGUAAGGAACUUGCCCUGCAGUCAGGGAUAACAGACGGAAACGACUGAUAAGACCUGGUAAAGUCAGGCGGACUCAUGUCCAGCCUGAUGAAAAGAGAUGCUGCAGGAGAGCCUUGCGUCCUAUUAGCUUGUUGGUGGGGUAACGGCCCACCAAGGCGAUGAUAGGUAGCCGGCCUGAGAGGGUGGACGGCCACAAGGGGACUGAGAUACGGCGCUUACUCCUACGGGAGGCAGCAGUGGGGAAUAUUGGACAAUGGGGGCAACCCUGAUCCAGCAAUUCUGUGUGCACGAUGAAGGUUUUCGGAUUGUAAAGUGCUUUCAGCAGGGAAGAAAAAAAUGACGGUACCUGCAGAAGAAGCGACGGCUAAAUACGUG